AAUGAACGUUGGCGGCGUGGAUUAGGCAUGCAAGUCGAGCGUGUACCCGCAAGGGGAAAGCGGCAAACGGGGUAGGAACGCGUAGGUCACGUACCCCUCGGCCGGGGAUAGCCACGGGAAACUGUGGGUAAUACCCGAUGACGCCGAGAGGCCAAAGGUGUGAUUCCGCCGGGGGAGCGGCCUGCGUAGUAUUAGCUAGUUGGUGAGGUAACGGCUCACCAAGGCGAAGAUGCUUAGGGGGUGUGAGAGCAUGACCCCCACCACUGGGACUGAGAUACUGCCCAGACACCUACGGGUGGCUGCAGUCGAGAAUCUUCGGCAAUGGGGGCAACCCUGACCGAGCGACGCCGCGUGUGGGAUGAAGGCCCUUGGGUUGUAAACCACUGUCAGAGGGGAUGAAACGAUCAUGGGUUCUCCCAUGGUCCUGACAUAGCCUCAGAGGAAGCACGGGCUAAGUUCGUGCCAGCAGCCGCGGUAAUACGAACUGUGCAAACGUUAUUCGGAAUCACUGGGUACG
RNAcentral lists this ribosomal RNA (517 nucleotides) under uncultured bacterium. RNAcentral's name for it is "bacterial SSU rRNA". It matches the Rfam family "Bacterial small subunit ribosomal RNA", at positions 28 to 562 of the family's 1533-position model. The record is from RNAcentral.